Molecule: ribosomal RNA, 497 nt
Filed under: uncultured bacterium
Lineage: Bacteria
Description: partial 16S ribosomal RNA
Rfam family: Bacterial small subunit ribosomal RNA
Source: RNAcentral
GAUGAACGCUGGCGGCGUGCCUAAUACAUGCAAGUCGAGCGAACGGACGAGAAGCUUGCUUCUCUGAUGUUAGCGGCGGACGGGUGAGUAACACGUGGAUAACCUACCUAUAAGACUGGGAUAACUUCGGGAAACCGGAGCUAAUACCGGAUGAUAUUUUGAACCGCAUGGUUCAAAAGUGAAAGACGGUCUUGCUGUCACUUAUCGAUGGAUCCGCGCUGCAUUAGCUAGUUGGUAAGGUAACGGCUUACCAAGGCAACGAUGCAUAGCCGACCUGAGAGGGUGAUCGGCCACACUGGAACUGAGACACGGUCCAGACUCCUACGGGAGGCAGCAGUAGGGAAUCUUCCGCAAUGGGCGAAAGCCUGACGGAGCAACGCCGCGUGAGUGAUGAAGGUCUUCGGAUCGUAAAACUCUGUUAUUAGGGAAGAACAUAUGUGUAAGUAACUGUGCACAUCUUGACGGUACCUAAUCAGAAAGCCACGGCUAACUACGUG